GUGGGGAAUAUUGGACAAUGGGCGAAAGCCUGAUCCAGCCAUGCCGCGUGUGUGAAGAAGGUCUUCGGAUUGUAAAGCACUUUAAGUUGGGAGGAAGGGCAGUAAGUUAAUACCUUGCUGUUUUGACGUUACCAACAGAAUAAGCACCGGCUAACUUCGUGCCAGCAGCCGCGGUAAUACGAAGGGUGCAAGCGUUAAUCGGAAUUACUGGGCGUAAAGCGCGCGUAGGUGGUUCAGCAAGUUGAAGGUGAAAUCCCCGGGCUCAACCUGGGAACUGCCUCCAAAACUACUGAGCUAGAGUACGGUAGAGGGUAGUGGAAUUUCCUGUGUAGCGGUGAAAUGCGUAGAUAUAGGAAGGAACACCAGUGGCGAAGGCGACUACCUGGACUGAUACUGACACUGAGGUGCGAAAGCGUGGGAGCAAACAGGAUUAGAAACCCUAGUAGUCC
This 449-nucleotide ribosomal RNA is filed under the name uncultured bacterium. RNAcentral's name for it is "partial 16S ribosomal RNA". It matches the Rfam family "Bacterial small subunit ribosomal RNA", at positions 354 to 796 of the family's 1533-position model. The record is from RNAcentral.